This 61-nucleotide microRNA precursor is filed under the name Acyrthosiphon pisum (pea aphid). RNAcentral describes it as "microRNA api-mir-306 precursor". Its record names the gene api-mir-306. The record is from miRBase by way of RNAcentral. Lineage: Eukaryota; Metazoa; Arthropoda; Insecta; Hemiptera; Aphididae.
UCAGGUACCAAGUGAUUUCUGAGUAAUUAAACAAACAUCAGUAAUCUCUGGGUAUCUUAAC